This 56-nucleotide ribosomal RNA is filed under the name Paradiplozoon megan. RNAcentral describes it as "partial 28S ribosomal RNA". Lineage: Eukaryota; Metazoa; Platyhelminthes; Monogenea; Mazocraeidea; Diplozoidae. The record is from RNAcentral.
CCUGACCUCGGAUUAGGCGUGAUUACCCGCUGAACUUAAGCAUAUCAAUAAGCGGA